Molecule: ribosomal RNA, 576 nt
Filed under: uncultured eukaryote
Lineage: Eukaryota
Description: SSU rRNA
Rfam family: Eukaryotic small subunit ribosomal RNA
Source: RNAcentral
UAAAAACCCCGACUUCGGAAGGGGUGUAUUUAUUAGAUACAAAACCAAUGCCCUUCGGGGCUCUUUGGUGAUUCAUGAUAACUAUACGAAUCGCACGGCCUUGCGCCGGCGAUGGUUCAUUCAAAUUUCUUCCCUAUCAACUUUCGAUGUUUGGGUAUUGGCCAAACAUGGUUGCAACGGGUAACGGAGGGUUAGGGCUCGACCCCGGAGAAGGAGCCUGAGAAACGGCUACUACAUCCAAGGAAGGCAGCAGGCGCGCAAAUUACCCAAUCCCGACUCGGGGAGGUAGUGACGAUAAAUACUGAUACAGGGCCCUUUCGGGCCUUGUAAUUGGAAUGAGUACAAUUUAAAUCCCUUAACGAGGAACAAUUGGAGGGCAAGUCUGGUGCCAGCAGCCGCGGUAAUUCCAGCUCCAAUAGCGUAUAUUAAAGUUGUUGUGGUUAAAAAGCUCGUAGUUGAACCUUGGGCCUGGCUGGCCGGUCCGCCUCACCGCGUGCACUGGUCCGGCCGGGCCUUUCCCUCUGUGGAACCCCAUACCCUUCACUGGGCGUGGCGGGGAAACAGGACAUUUACUUU